CAAAUCACACACCACCGUUUGAUCAUGAUCACACGGCAACCAAUCUACUACAAAAACUUUAAAAUUUGUCGACCAUGUCCAUAUAUAUGAAAUGCUAAGCCUAUGACCUUUGCCUUUCUAUAUAAAUUCAAUAUCUUUUUCACUGACAUUCUCCAAAACAAAAAUGAAUAAUCGCUUUCUCAUCAGCUGCAGCCUCUUUCUCAUUGCUUUUCUCAUUUUCUUAGCUCAAGCAACUGGUAGGAGCUUCCCUUCUGCACCUUACGCCACCAGAAGCCAACACCCUUUUCGCUCCCGGCCACAGCCGGCGCUGGUUAAUGCUCCCUUCCAUGGCCGAGCUAAAGAGUUUGAAUCCCAGAAGCGAAAAGUUCCUACAGGAUCAAACCCGCUGCACAACAAGAAGAGACACUGAAUAUGAUAUGUUGAAGAUGAUUGCAAUUGAAAGAUGUAUCCAUCAAACAGCUAAACAAAAUUCAAGAUUGUGGGCUGCAACUUGCAACUCUACCACUUUUUAUUUAAUUUCCAUCAAAAUUAUAGUAACCCAAUUUCAGUUUUCUCUGAUACAACCAUUGAGAGGUAGCUGCUGAGUCUGAGUUAGUCCGCACAUCUUCUCAUCCAUAGACCUAAUUUUAAUGGGGAGUGUAAUUAAUACCCUUUAUUUCAUACAACCACCAUGCAAUUAAGAUACCCAUUAUGCUUGUACAGGCAAAUAUGGAAUGGAAUGGAAUGGAAUAUAUGCUGGGCAGUAGCUAGCUCUGUUUGGUC
Molecule: long non-coding RNA, 762 nt
Organism: Hevea brasiliensis (rubber tree)
Lineage: Eukaryota; Viridiplantae; Streptophyta; Magnoliopsida; Malpighiales; Euphorbiaceae
Exons: 2
Source: RefSeq, a predicted model, not a curated record